This is a long non-coding RNA of Oncorhynchus tshawytscha (Chinook salmon), 335 nucleotides long. The record is from Ensembl. Lineage: Eukaryota; Metazoa; Chordata; Actinopteri; Salmoniformes; Salmonidae.
UAGGUACCUUGGUUGGCUAGUUAGUUAGGUACCUUGGUUGGCUUGUGUGUGUAAUAUACAUUAUUCUGGGAGUCUCAUGUGUGUAAUAUACAUUAUUCUGGGAGUCUAGUGUGUGUAAUAUACAUUAUUCUGGGAGUCUAGUGUGUGUAAUAUACAUUAUUCUGGGAGUCUAGUGUGUGUAAUAUACAUUAUUCUGGGAGUCUCGUGUGUGUGUAUGAACUAUGUGGAAUAUUUUUGGACCAUCGUCUUCCCUGAAAGCAGGUACUGACAGGAGGACGAGGCCCGUGACGAGAAUGAUGAUCCAGUGACAGUGUUUAAAAACCAUUUACAAUAAA